AGCUAACCUGCCCUCGAGCCCGUAAUAUCGUCGGGAAACUGACGUUAAUGACGGAUAGAUGAUUUUUUCUGGAAUGAUUAAUCAUUGAAAGCUAGCGCGAGGAUGGGGCUGCGGCUGAUUAGGUAGUUGGCGGGGUAAAUGCCCACCAAGCCAAUGAUCAGUAAGGGCUCUUAGCGGAGAAGCCCUGAGAGGGAAUCUGAGACACUAUUCCCAGCCCUACGGGGUGCAGCAGUCGGGAAAAUUCUGCAAUGUACGAAAGUGUGACAGAGCAAGCCAAAGUGAUUUUCUUUUAGAAAAUCUUUUGUGAAAUGUAAAAAGUUUCACGAAUAAGGACCGGGAGAGACUGGUGCCAGCCGCCGCGGUAAUCCCAGCGGUCCAAGUCGCAGCCACAUUUGUUGGGUCUAAAACAUUCGUAGCUUGCCUUGCAAGUCUUUUGUGAAAUCGGGACUCUUAAGGUUCCGUCGGGCAAAAGAUACUGCAUGGCUAUGAGACCGGGAGAUGUAAAGAGUACAGAUCGGGUAGUGGUUAAAUACGUUGAUCCUUUCUGGACUAACGACAGCGGAGGCACUUUACAAGCACGGAUCUGACAGUGAGGAAUGAAGGCUAGGGGCGCAAAGUGGAUUAGAUACCCAUGUAGUCCUAGCAGUAAACACUGCACACUAAACAUUGGUGCCUAUUCGAGAGGCAUCAGUGCUGUAGGGAAGCCGGAGAGUGUGCUACCUGGGAAGUAUAGACGCAAGUCCGAAACUUAA
This 752-nucleotide ribosomal RNA is filed under the name uncultured archaeon. RNAcentral's name for it is "bacterial SSU rRNA". It matches the Rfam family "Archaeal small subunit ribosomal RNA", at positions 102 to 859 of the family's 1478-position model. The record is from RNAcentral.